Molecule: ribosomal RNA, 406 nt
Filed under: uncultured bacterium
Lineage: Bacteria
Description: partial 16S ribosomal RNA
Rfam family: Bacterial small subunit ribosomal RNA
Source: RNAcentral
AUUGAACGCUGGCGGCAGGCCUAACACACGCACGUCGAACGAGUGGCGGACGGGUGAGUACUGUCUGGGAAACUGCCUGCAAGAGGGGGAUAACUACUGGAAACGGUAGCUAAUACCGCAUACCAUCAGAUGUGCCCAGGUGGGAUUAGCUAGUGGGUGGGGUAACGGCUCACCAAGGCGACGAUCCCUAGCUGGUCUGAGAGGAUGACCAGCCACACUGGAACUGAGACAAGGUCCAGACACCUACGGGAGGCAGCAGGGGGGAAGAUUGAACAAUGGGCUGAAGCCUGAGGCAGCCAUGCCGCGUGGAUGAAGAAGGCCUUCGGGUUGUAAAGUACUUUCAGCGGGGAGGCGUUACCCGCAGAAGAGGCACAGGCUAACUCCGUGCCAGCCGCCGCGGUAAUAC